GCGCUCGUAGCUCAGCUGGAUAGAGCAUCGGAUUUCGAUUCCGAGGGUCGGGAGUUCGAAUCUCUCCGAGCGCGCCA
Molecule: transfer RNA, 77 nt
Filed under: Bradyrhizobium japonicum
Lineage: Bacteria; Pseudomonadati; Pseudomonadota; Alphaproteobacteria; Hyphomicrobiales; Nitrobacteraceae
Also listed under: 473 other names
Description: tRNA-Arg
Rfam family: tRNA
About the family: Transfer RNA (tRNA) molecules are approximately 80 nucleotides in length. Their secondary structure includes four short double-helical elements and three loops (D, anti-codon, and T loops).
Source: RNAcentral